This is a long non-coding RNA of Apodemus sylvaticus (European woodmouse), 790 nucleotides long. RefSeq lists it as uncharacterized. NCBI's taxonomy places the organism in Eukaryota, Metazoa, Chordata, Mammalia, Rodentia, Muridae. The transcript is spliced from 3 exons. The record is from RefSeq and is a predicted model, not a curated record.
UUAUUGCAGAAAUGUUAGUGUUUGACGGCUUAACCCUGCCACUUUGGGAGCCUGUUUCUACUCUUAAUUCCUUAACCCUCUGUUUAUGCUAACAAGAUACCAGUCCAUCACCAAGGGAAGGAAGGAAAAGACCUGAAACAAAAGCUGUGGAGAAAUGUUGCUACUGGCUUGCUCCCUGAGGCUUGCUCAGCCUGCUCUCUUUGACAACCCAGGACCAUGUGACAAGAAUGGCACCACUCACAUUGAGGUUCAAGUCAGCUCUACUCCACAGUUGUUGCUGUCCUUGGUGGUCAUCCCAUGAUACUGACAUCUCCAAAUGCUUGAUACUCUGCAACAACCAGGCUGUACCUUCAUCAAUAGCCUCUCCUCAGUUCUCUUCAGGGACUCUGAUCUAGCUACAUGGAUCUAACCUCAACUUUUUUCCUUGACUGCUUCAAUUCUUGGGUUACUACUACAAUUGAGGCUGCACCUUCACUAAUGGACUCUCCUCUCAUAGCACCAAGCUACAGCUACUCUCUGUGACAUCUUUAUGCCUUCAAAUCUAGCACCACCUGGAAGACCCUAUGAUAUGUUAGCAAGUUUGUCUAUGAGCACAAAGUAUAGCCUUGGCCUUCUUUGGACCACAGCUUCUGUGUACUGACGCAAGGAAGCAAUCCCAAUAGAUUUUGUCCCAGUGAUACUGAUCUUGAAGAGAUUCAGGUAACACCAUCUUUUCCUGAAUCCAUUUUGUGUCUGCAUAGACAUUUUUUUAGCCUUUUUUAGCCUUCUGCCCCCAUAAACAGCUAUGUCU